GGGGCAACUUCGCCUCAGCCACUGAAACGGGGCAACCGGGACCCGUCUCUGCUCCAAACAGCCGUGACAGAUCCUGAGGAAAGCAGAAAGCGCGGGCGGUGCGAGGCCUCUCUCGGGGCGGACGAAGGUGUCAGUUAAACAGAGCCCCGCGCUCUGAGGUGUGCUGACACCAAACAGCUCAGAUGUUACCUUUACUCCUGGCUGCCCCUCCCUGUGCUCCGGCUGGAUGCCACCUGAGCUUCAUUGCCGCACCACGCCUGGGUAGCUCGGCUGCUUUAUUGGCACUUUCAUUGCGCUGUUUGAAGGCAAACUCCCUCUCCACAGUGUAGCAAUUGGACAUAUCAACACGAUGGGAAAGGCACUGCAACAAAGGUGUGAUGGUGGAAGGAUCAGCGUGACAGAAAGGUGCUACAAAGGAAGGGAAGAUUGCUCACCCAUAGCAGAAGAUUCCACGGUCACAGGGGAGAGCUCCAAGGAGGGAUCUCCAGAAAGAGAUCAUCCUAGAGUGGCACUCAGCCUUUCAGUGAGGUCUAAGAGAGGCGCAGCCAGGCUCCACCCCUUCUGGUCACACAGCUGAAUUGCCUUCACCUGUGCUCCCAGGGCUGACCGGUCCUUUCCCCAGGUGCUCAAUCAGUGGCUCAGGCCGUGACUCAGCAGUUAGCACACACACAGCAAACAUCUGCAUCAAUGCAGAAUGCAUUUCUGCUGCAGAGGAGAUGGGAGGAUAGCAUGGCUUUGCCAUAAAGUUAUGGGUCAGCCACUGAAAAGAGCCUGUGCUUUUAGGAGAUGGUCCCCAUUAUUCCUGGUGAACCAUGGCAAGAGUUGCACCUUCAAGCUUUAUCAGAAGGCAUACAUUGCCUGUAUAAGGGCCGACUACUACUUACAUGUAAAAGCUAGAGCAGUUGCAGCAACAUCAGCCAGAGCUUCAGUGCAGAUUACCUGGAGAAAUCUUGCAGUAUGUGAGUGCCAGCACUCCCACUCGUCUGCUUCGCUUGUGAAAUGCACAGCAUCCUCCUUUCCCACCUGUUUGUUAGCAAUACAACUGCUUUAUAAAGAGCAGGAAUGUUUUGACUGAACUUAACCAGUGUGACCUGCAGACUGCCUGGAAGGAGCAGCCCCACUGCAAGCCCUGCAGCACAGCAGGGGUUUGUCUAAAAGGGCCACAUCAGUCGGACCUGAGCGCCCGAUCCCAGCACUGCACAGAACAAUACAAAGGUUUAAGCCUCUCGAUGCAGUCACUCUCAGGACUGUGUUUGUUUCCUGUCGACGAAAGAUCUUGAAGGGUUUUUUUUGUUGCAAGUUUACUGCAUUAACAGAUGACGAGUGACAAAGAUGGUCAAAACCAAGCAUACAUUUCUGUCUUUACUGUGAAGUAACACACGAUCAGCAGCUCGAGCUUGCUGGCACCAUGACUUUCACCACCCCUUCCAUAACAGUCUUCCCACUCUCUCUGACUUUACACGAUACAGCGAUGUGUGCAACGGAGCUCCUCAGCCGUCUCACUUGCACUGCAGCUAUCACUUCUUCUCCAGUAUACAGAGGAGCUGGAAAUCGAAUCUCCUGAGAAAGAAACACACAGCCCUGCCCAGGCAUUUUAGUGCCCAGAACUGCAGAAAUAAGUCCGUUGAUCAAAACUCCGUGCACAACAGUUCUACCAAAUUUAGUUUUCUUUGCAAAAUCUUCGCUUAAAUGCAAAGGAUUUGUGUCACCUGUUAAAUGAGAAAAAGUAACAACAUCAUUCUGUGUAAAAACUCUGCUAAGUUCAGCUUUGUCUCCAACUUUUAUGUGUAAAUUCUGAAGCAACGGACAUCCAAGCAGCAGGUUGGUAACCACCAGCUUUGUUGAAGCUCCGUGUCGGAAAUCCCCUCUAGAAAUCCCACACCUGAGGAGCAGCAACAUCUCAAGGACCUUCUGACAGUCCAACCGGCCACGCUCAGUGCAAGACCAGCUCCCUGCUGUUCCCAGCUAAGGCGAGAAGAAAUGGAGAUGUCUUGUUUUGGGGGAAGAAAAAAAAGAAAACGAGAAGCAUUAAAAAAAUAAAUAAAUCAUUAAAUGCACCCAGAGUUGAAAACAUUUAGCCCUCCCAUUCAUGUAGAUUUUAAAGUAAGAGCUACAAGUAAGCAGACAUUUGUUUAGCCGUGGCUUCAGAGACAAAGAAUUUGUGGAGGACGUUUACUUAAGCAACAUCCUCAGGGGGGAGAGAAAAGGGAAAAGCUCUGGAGGUACACAUUUAUGCAUGCAUUUCUACACGAGGUAACUACUGACUAUUAGAAAGGGAAGAAAGGUCAGAACAACGAACAGCACAGCAGUGAUGGGGGGGAGG
Gallus gallus (chicken) is the source of this 2323-nucleotide long non-coding RNA. RefSeq lists it as uncharacterized. The record is from RefSeq and is a predicted model, not a curated record. Lineage: Eukaryota; Metazoa; Chordata; Aves; Galliformes; Phasianidae. The transcript is spliced from 2 exons.